This 312-nucleotide long non-coding RNA is filed under the name Capsicum annuum. RNAcentral's name for it is "long non-coding RNA (CANN_LNC017764)". The record is from RNAcentral. Lineage: Eukaryota; Viridiplantae; Streptophyta; Magnoliopsida; Solanales; Solanaceae.
UGCAUGGCUCUCUUCUGUAGGGACUCUCCUGCCACUCCUCGCAACCCAUUGGAUGGCUAGGUGUAGGGACUCUCCUGCCACUCUUCGCAACCCAUUAGGUGGCUAGGUUGUCGUUCCAACCUUGAGUCCGACUUUCUUUAGACGGACCCCUUCACGUGCCCUCGGCAAAGCUCAAGUCCAACCUUCUUGGUGGACACUCAACUUGAUGCCUUAAUUGCAUCAAUGGCAAGACCUAAGCAUGAUCAAGCCCAAUGUUUAUAGUCUACGGCCUUAACUCUCUUGGAACAUGGCUGCACGACCUGGCAGACAUGG